UUACUUCACUACUCUUUGCAGUGGAGACUAGCUGAGGUCUGUGAAAGAUUAGAACAUGAUCUUGUGAUCCUUGGGGUUACCGCAAUAGAAGACCGUUUACAGGAUGGGGUACCAGAAACAAUAGAGGCAUUAAGAAAAGCAGGAAUCAAUUUCUGGAUGCUUACUGGUGACAAGCAGAAUACUGCAAUACAGAUUGCUCUUUCUUGCAAUUUUGUUUCACCAGAGCCAAAAGGACAACUUCUAUUAAUUAAUGGCAAAACAGAAGAUGAAGUCGGCAGAAGUUUAGAGAGAGUUUUACUUACAAUGAGGAUUACAACUUCAGAAC
Long non-coding RNA from Humulus lupulus (European hop), 325 nucleotides. RefSeq lists it as uncharacterized. NCBI's taxonomy places the organism in Eukaryota, Viridiplantae, Streptophyta, Magnoliopsida, Rosales, Cannabaceae. The record is from RefSeq and is a predicted model, not a curated record. The transcript is spliced from 3 exons.